CUUGUCAACUUUGAUACCAGGGACAAUCUUUUGCUCAACAAGAACAUCGACCAUCUUUUUCCCAUCGAUGGUAGAUUGGUAGAGAGUCUCCUCGAAAAGGAUAGCUCCCGAGAUGUAGUCACCGAGGCCAGGGGCAGACACGAGAAGUGUACGGUAAGCUUGCCGGUUUGCCUCGGUAUUCUCGAGACCAAUCGAGGCAAGCCGUUUCCCACAUGUAGCAUUUGAUUCAUCCAUGGCCAAAAUACCACGACCUGGAGAUGCAACAGUUUUCUACAUCCAAACAAAGAAAUAAUAUUUGAGCAUGCACGAGAUAAAAAUACGAUUCAAGACUACAUUAAUUCUAAGACAUACCGCGGUCUUAACAAGCUCGUCGGCAUAUGAACUAGCACGGACGGUAAAGGCGACCGAUGUAGGGUGUGACCGUACAAAACAAACCGAAGGGUGGCGGAGGUUUUGGCCCUUAAUCCACUCGGACUUGUCGAUAAUAGGUGAAGACUUGAGGAGAGUAGCGGAAGCAGAAGCCAUUUUUCUUGGGCUUUGAGAGGGCUAAUCAAUGAAGCAAGUCGAAGGGGCUUUAUUAUGUUUAGUUUUUCACUAUAAUCUUAUCUCUUCAAUCCUGGCCUUCCUUCACCACACAUGCAAGUCUCACUCACUGGAUUUUAUACUUGCGUUUGUCUAUACUAUCACUAUACCAGAAGAUGUCGCAUUUGAGGCUGUCGUGCUCCGACCAAUGCUCUUGUGCCAUGUGGAUGAUAAUUUUGCACACUUGGCCGGGAUGCAUUCCGUGGUUGAUAUGGAUGAUUCUAUACUCACCUCGUAAAACAUUGUUUCAAAUACGUUUAUUUUUUUCCCUUUUUUUCAAUUUGCUUUUAUUUUUUAUUUAAUUUAAAAAAAAUUUAAAGGUUUACUAUAACAUUUGUUACCUGAAUUUGACACUUUUUUCUAUUUUGGUACCUAAUUUUUUUGGUCCAAUUUGAUAUUCAAACUUGACUCUUUUUUCUAAUUUGAUACCUAUUUUUUUUUGGUUCGAUUUGGUAUUUGUCAAAUGUUUUUACAAAUUACUCCAAUAUCUAACAAUGUUAUUCUUUUACAAGGUAGCAAAAAUAAUCAAUAUAUUUUAUAUGUUCAAUUACUUUUAGUUUUAUUUAAUUAAUUAUUUUAUUAAUUGAAAAUAAUGAAUUUCUUUUAAUUUGGAGUUUUUUAAAAUAUUUUUUUCUUAUUUAAUACUAAUUCAUUAACCAUAGUCAAAUAUCUAUUUUUUUAACAUGAAUUUCCUAUAACAAUAACAAUAUUUUUGUAGCAUAACCAAAAAAAUUUUAACACCGUUAGUGUUUUGCAUAAUUUGUAUAACAUUUAAUAAAUUUAGUUACCAAAUUGAACCUAAAAAAAACUUAGGUACCAAAUUAGGAAAAAAAUGCCAGGUUCAGGUGCCAAAUUGGGCCCAAAAAAAUUUAGGUACCAAAUUAGGAAAAAAAAUGUAAAGUUUAGGUUCCAAAUGUUAUAUUAAGGUGAAAUUAAAAUAUCAUUCAUUCUGUGUUGUAGCUAUUUUUUCCAACAAUAUAUCUUUAAAGUUUGAUAGUAAAUUCUGUCUAAAAGUACAAUAUGUCUUACUAUUACAUUUAAUAUUUGUUCAUAAAGUCAAAAUGUAAUUAAUAAUAUUAUUAACAGGUUUCUUUUUUUUUCUUUUUGAAUAAUAUUAACAGGUUCCUAUUAAACUAGAAUAUGUGGCAUUUUAAAUGGGAUGAUUGAGUCGAUUAUAUUGAUAAUAAACUUAAGUGGAUAAAAAUUUGAAAAGUAUAAAAAUUGGAGGGUUAAAAUAUGUAAUAUAGUUGCUGUACUUUUUGAAAAUUAAGAAUUUAGUCCUUGUAUUUGUAUUUUUAAAAAAAUUAAAUCUUCUAUCUUUCAAAUUUUAAAAUUUAAGUCCAUCUGCUAACACUAGAUUUGAUCAUUGGUCAAGCUGGAUUCGGGCCAAGUCGAUGUAGAAAUUUAGGCUUAGACUUAGCCUGAAAAAUAGACUUAAAAUUCUAUUCAAAUCUGACCCAAAUUAAAUAUGCUAAACCCAAGCCCUAUACGACUUAUCCUAUUAAAAUUUUUAAAUUAUUUUUUAUAUUUAAAAAUAUAAUACACCAAAUUCACUAAAAAUAUUAAAAUCAAAAAAAAUAACAACCGAAAUUAGACAUUUGAGGGUAAAGUUUUGGGUUACAAAAUUCAUCAAUUUAUAGCAACAAAAAGGAUGUGGUGUUAAGUUUAUUACAUUGACUAGUAACAAAAUUAGUCUUCAAAAAUGAAUACCUAACCUUAAAUAUUAAUUUGUUAGUUAGGUUGUUUUUACACACUAACCUCUCCAAAUAAAUAUUAAUCAAAUAUCGUGGUUUUUUUUUUUUAGAAAACGAGUUUUAAUUUUUAUUCAAGUUUAUUUUUUAAUUUUAUAUUUUUGUUUAAACUUUCUCAGUUUUCAAGUGGUUCUUCGGGCCUAAACAGAUGGUUCAACUCAUGAUCAGGUCUAAUUAAUACCGUUAACUUUCUUUGUUAAAUUUGUUGCAAUGACAUUUUGAAAUUAAAAAAAAUAACCACUUGAUAGCCAUGUAAAUAAAAACAACAUGUUGUAAUUAACUUGAAUUUAACAAAAACAAAAAUGGUAUUAACAGUUAGACCUGAAUUUUGAAAUCUGAAAAGUAGAUGACUAAAAAUUCCUGGAAAUACAAGUACAAUGAAUAAAUUCCUAAGGUUUGAAAGUACAGGGACUAUAUGGAUAAUUUAACCAAAUUGAGGGCAUAAUUAGACAUUUCAAACAAUACGGCAUAUUGAAGAGUACAAAUGCAUGAUAUUCAGAAAGGAGUUUAGAGUGUGGGUAAAAGAGAGAUUCCUUCUCAACUGAAAGUAACCAAAUAUGAGGUUCUAAAUUUGUGCAGGUUAAUGGCUGUGGUUUUGAAGUGAAGCCCCCACAUCGGACGGUUGACAGAAUGCCAUCCCUUGAGAUUUUUCUUUCAUGAGGACCUCGGAGAAUGGAGCCAAAAGCAUAUGAUAUGAAGUGUGGCUAAGAUUCAUGAAAACUGGGCUUCUGUUUGCAUUUGUGGCCAACUGCAACGCCUAUAAGAAUUAACCAAAAACCCCUGAUUCAUGAUAAUGACUGCCGAAAUUUUUCAAACAAAAAACGAUCGGAAAAAAUGAAAAAUUUCCGUUGCCGGGACUUGAACCCGGGUCUCUCGGGUGAGAGCCGAGUAUCCUAACCACCUAGACUACAACGGAAUCUUGUUUGUUAAUUUGAAUAAAAUAAUUUAAGUCAUUUAUUGAUUAAGUUGCUAUUGAACUUCCUACAGUAUUCCGGAUUUUUAGUAUUUUUUUCUCACCCAUAUAUAAAAAGUUACAAAGAAUCAAUAAAUUUAUCAAUUUAUAACCUUUUGGUUACUUGUCUCUUAACUCAAUAUGACAUAGAUAGGCUUAAUAGCUAAUUUGGUCCCUAAACUAUAACUAAAAUAUUAAUUUCAUACUUUCCUGAAGUGUGAUAUGAUUGUACAUGUUGGAGGUAGAAGGACCCAUGGGAGGUAUCUCUUGUUGAGGCAGAGAGUUGAGGUUUGUCAUUCUUUAGUAGGCAACAUUUUAUGUUUGUUUGUAAUUUUGGAAAGCCUGCUAAAAUUCUUUCCUUUGCUUGUAGUUUCCUGGGGAUAAGCCUGGUCGUUUGGAGGAACCAGGUUUACAACCGCUCAGUCCGAAUGAAGUAAGGAAGGAUCUGAAUCAGCAGUCAAAGCUUGCAGUGAGAGAGAACCGGCAAAACCAUGGAGUCUCUCGUGUUCAAUUGCUUGAUGAUAAUGCUAAGGGUGAUAGAAAGGUAGGAAAUGAGUUGAUUGAUCUAAAUGCCAAGCCACAACGGGUGCAGGUGCAAGCUUCAAUCAAUCAGGUAUUGUCGUUUGACUAGCUUUUUUCGUUCUUAAACUUGAAUGCUAAGCAGUGUAGUAAGAUGUUCUUUUAGAACUUAAUUAACGAGGUGACUGUUUCGUGUUUUAGAAGCAAGCCAUGGAUGUUUCGAGUGGCAAUAAUCAUGACUCUACAAGUGUGGUCCCUGUUGGAUGCUUCAAACGAGAGCCUGAAAAAUGAGCUAGGUAUAACUAUUAUCACCUACGUAUAGUUACUUCUUUUAAGAGCAUUGUAACCAUUUGGCUCUAAGAAUUUUCUGUUUUUAUGUUCAUUUCUUGAUACUUCAUUAUAGAUGCUCGUUACGUAUUUGAUAUCAAAUUAGUAAAGUGUACAAAUAAUUAAUAGGAUUUCCCAAGAAGGUAGGCUUCCUUUCACAUGACAUUGGUGCUUAGAUAGCAUUUUCCAAGACUUGUCUGGUUUUUCAAAGUAGAGCUUGACCUGCUGAGCAGUUCCUCACUCCCAUAGUCAUAUGAGAAACAGAUGGACCGGCAUCUAGUUGUUUAUGAAUCAUUAAACUAUAGAGUAAGAAUGUCUAGGCUUUUGUAUUAGGGGCAAGUUCUGCUAACGUUUUUGAGAGAAAUGGUAUCCGGUGCAAGUAACCUUUAAUCUUCAUGCAUAUGGCUAGACUGCUAAAUAACUUUUGAUCCCAAAAGAUGGUAACAUGGCGGCUUCUGCUUGCCUAUCUAUCUCAUGGUUUCUCUCUCUUACUUUAGGCUCGUGUAGAACAAAACUAUCCGGCUGGUUCUAAGGUUACUCUUACGUUCCCCUCAAAAUAUGCACACACACACACAUGCGCUCACGAACAGCUAACCAUUCUUUCUACUCCUUUGAUAAUUGAAUGAGGUUUCUUAUGAGAUAAUGUUGUCCAUCAAUGUUUGGCUGCAGAUACAGCUGAAUCAGUUCUCGCACAUCUAUGUAUUUAUCGAGUGAAGCGCUUGCCUUUGUUAGAUAUGUCUUCCUUCCCCAUGGAUUAGUCAUUAUUACCGGUGAAUUAGAAUGACUAGUUGCCAUCAAAUUGUAAGUGGGAAAUAGAAGAGUAAUGGUGAGGAAAUUUUAACUUUUGAAAGGAAAAAAUUCCCCUGCUUGUUUCUCCGGAAAAUGUCUUUCCUUUUUCUGGUCGAAUUUUUGGCCUGAAAGCAGAACAAGCAGUGGGAGAGUAUGAAUCAUGUUGCUCUUCCACCCCUUCUUAGUGGCAUCCGUUUUACCUUUGCUUAACUUCCAUUAUGGUGUUUCUUCUAUUUUUGCCACACUCAAAUAGCAGCUGAAAUUUUUUUGGAUGGAAUCCAAUAAUAAGAUGGAGGAAUGUUGUGAAAAAUACAGUUUAACUGUGUAAGUAGAUCUCUCUAUAGGUUGGGUCGGAUUCAGUCAAGCACUCAGGCAUGUGCAAGUCUAUUUCAAUUUUAAUGCUUAAGGAUCCUAGGUUAAACAAUUGGUUUAACUCCACGGAAAAUGGAUAGUAAAAGAGAACAUCUCACGUCCAAUUCGCCUAAUAUUUUUGCUUAAACUUGUUUUUCCAGUCCAACAUUUCCAAGCAGACAGUUUAGAACAACGUCGAGCAGGAUUGAGAAAUGAUAAUCCGGAAGUUAAUCAUAUCAGUCUACUCUAAUUUUUUUUUAUCACGAAAAUGCAGAUUCAAGCAUGUUUUAGUAUUUGUGAUGAUGCCAUUUAUGAGUAACCUCAUCGGCAAGAAGUUUGUUAACUAACAGUACAUUGCAAUCCAGAACAAAAACUAGUCUCCAGGGUCUAUAGAACAUUAAACACAAUGAGAAUGAAAGAGAAACCAUAUCAUGAAAUCUCCAUCAUCUCCGCUAAGCUUUGUUUGCAGCAGCUUAAUAGACAUAUCCCUUUACGAACAUUCCUUUCUUGGCCUCCUCUGAUUCUCCCUCGCCGGUGUAUUUGCCGAGCUGAGCAAGUGAGUUGGCCUUGGCACGGACAAGAAGUGAAUCCUGAGCAGCCUUAACGUUCUCAGGUCUGCCUCCCCAUGUCUUCAAGCAAGUGUUCUGGAGAGCUCUGGCAUACGAGAACGAGACGUGCCAUGGGUUUGGAGAUUGGUUCAUUGCGUUCAAGUUGAGGGUUGCUUCAACCUCGGACUGUCCGCCAGACAAGAACUGCACAACAGAAACGGUUUGUCCAAUCCGUUAGUACCGUUCAUUUUAUUAUUUUACAAUGCUUUCGUAUAGAAAAUGUACCAUGAUUCCAGGGACAGCUGGGGGGAUUCUCCUGUGGAGGAGCUUGAGGGUGUAAUCAGCAACUUGCUGUGGGGUGGCCUUGUCUUUGCAUUCAGCACCAGGAGUGACCAUGCUGGGCUUGAGAAGGAUGCCCUCAAACAUGACAUUGUUCUCAGCAAGGUAGAAGAAAACCUCAGCCCAAACCUUCUGCGCUACUUCGAAAGUCCUAUCAAUUCCAUGGUCACCAUCAAGCAAGAUUUCCGGCUCCACAAUCGGGACCAGUCCACUGUCCUGCAACACAAUGGCCACAAAAAUCCCUUCUCAACAACUAGUAGCAUACACAUAAUGAUUACUCAUCAGCUUCCUUUCUCAACUUACUUGAGAAAUGGCGGCAUAGCGAGCAAGUCCCCAAGCUGCUUCUUUAACUGCCAAGGCAGAUGGACCAUUUGGAAUGCUCACAACGGUACGCCUGUCCGAUCAAAAAGAGCUAAUAGUGUUAUACAAGAAUCCUUUAUUUCAACACUGCAUAAUAUGGUUGAGAAGUCAUCGAACAUGAGAUUACCAUUUGGCGAAACGAGCACCCUGCUGGUAGUAGGCAGCUGUGCGGGAUGAAAGACCGUCAAGACCUUGGCACCAUGACUCGUUGUUGGAACCAGGGAGUGGAACCAAACCCUGUUAUUUUGUUUACCAAAUCAUUCAGUUCCAAGUAUCCUCUUUAAAAAUAUGAAUUUGUGGAUGCUUUUUGGUUAAGCUUUAUACCUUGUCAACUUUGAUACCAGGGACAAUCUUUUGCUCAACAAGAACAUCAACCAUCUUUUUCCCAUCGAUGGUAGAUUGGUAGAGAGUCUCCUCGAAAAGGAUAGCUCCCGAGAUGUAGUCACCGAGGCCAGGGGCAGACACGAGAAGGGUACGGUAAGCUUGCCGGUUUGCCUCUGUAUUCUCGAGACCAAUCGAGGCAAGCCGUUUCCCACAUGUAGCAUUUGAUUCAUCCAUGGCCAAAAUACCACGACCUGGAGAUGCAAC
Molecule: long non-coding RNA, 7106 nt
Filed under: Gossypium raimondii (Peruvian cotton)
Lineage: Eukaryota; Viridiplantae; Streptophyta; Magnoliopsida; Malvales; Malvaceae
Description: long non-coding RNA (GRAI_LNC010243)
Source: RNAcentral